AAAAAGGGACACCAGCACCAAAGCUUCCUUAGAUGCAGUGGGGCUGGGCUCCAACUUGCACGGUGCGCAUGGAAAGCAUGCACCUAGUGAGCUAUUUUGACAGCCCUAUUAGUUUCUGUUGUGGUUUGGUGUUUGUUGUUUUUUUUUUUUCCCAGAGACUCUUGUUUAUGAUGAUGUGGGGUUUGAAUCUGGGACUUUGGAACAUCAGACAUGAAAGUCUAAUAACCAUUAUGCUAUCUGCUCAACUCUAGUCUUGUUUUUAUUUUUGCACUGUACAGAUGUUCAUUCCUUUUGCCCUUUGUGACUGAUUCUGAUACUAACUGUAUUAUUACAUGUUGUUUUAUUAUGACAGAUAUCUUCUGUGGACCCAACCUCUUUUGAUCAUCUUUCAUAUUAAAGUAAAUUUAUUCCAGUA
This is a long non-coding RNA of Erinaceus europaeus (western European hedgehog), 415 nucleotides long. RefSeq lists it as uncharacterized. The transcript has 2 exons. Lineage: Eukaryota; Metazoa; Chordata; Mammalia; Eulipotyphla; Erinaceidae. The record is from RefSeq and is a predicted model, not a curated record.